CUUUGAAAAACCAACUCUUUGUCUCUCCACACAUUGGAUUCAUUUUAAUGGUUUAGGAACGCAAUACCCUUUCUCUUUCUCUAUUUUGUUCCAAAAACCCUAAAUCAAACACAAAAUCUCCUUCUUUAUGGUGCUCAAGCAACCCUAAAUCAAAGCAAAAAAAAGUGUGAAAUUGAUAUUUAUAUUGUGUGCACGAAAGCGGGAAGUCGAACACGAUUGUGGUGUGGUAAAAUUUGAAAAAUUUGAUUCAAUGGGAAGCGAAGAGUACUCUUUGCUGAAGGAUUCAACAAUCGAAAUUGAAGCAAAGGACGAAACUUUCUCUCUUUGCUUUUGGCUUUAUUUCACGACUUCCUCUGCAUUCCCCUCUACCAUUAUUCAGCAGAUGUCCCUAUACCCUCUCAAAUUGACGUUAAACAUUGAAGAAAGGGAAUCCAAUGAGUCCAGACGUUACUGGCUGGGCAAUACCUGCUAGUGGUAGUUGAGGCAGUGAGAAACACCGAGAGAGGGAGCGGUGGUAUAUCAGAGAGGAGAUGUUAGAAUUGGGAGACAAAGAUGGAAAGGGAAAGUAGGAUUUUUGGAGUAAGGGAAGAAAUCAAAAAAGUGUCGGUAUUUGCAGGUGUUUCCAAUUGAUGAGCUAGUACGUAUAUCACUACAAGUUGUUACCAACAAGCCUCCAACACAUUUCGUUGAUGACAUCUUUAGCAAAUUCAUUCCACCAGUUGACAACAACAACAAACCUGAAGACAGUGGAUCAAACAAGAAUAUUAAAUAUUGAAAAAUUUUAGGACUUCAUUAAUUUCUUGUUUUGUAUUUCAGAUUUAUCUUUAUUGUCAGUGUGGAAUAUUGUCUAUCUUUACAUAGAUGUGUUUUGUAGUAAAAUUUGUUAAGUACUAAAGUCAACUUCAUAGAUUAGUUGUUGCAUUAAGUGGUUAUGUAAUGUAUGUUAUGUUCUAAGUUUUAUAUCAUGUUGUUUUCAUAUAAAAAAA
Molecule: long non-coding RNA, 986 nt
Organism: Vigna angularis (adzuki bean)
Lineage: Eukaryota; Viridiplantae; Streptophyta; Magnoliopsida; Fabales; Fabaceae
Exons: 3
Source: RefSeq, a predicted model, not a curated record